GUACGGAGGGUGCAAGCGUUACUCGGAAUCACUGGGCGUAAAGCGCGCGCAGGCGGUCGUUUAAGUUGGAUGUGAAAGCCUACGUCUCAACCGUAGAACUGCAUCCAAAACUAUUAGACUAGAGUGUGGGAGAGGAAGAUGGAAUUAGUUGUGUAGGGGUAAAAUCCGUAGAGAUAACUAGGAAUACCAAAAGCGAAGGCAAUCUUCUGGAACACUACUGACGCUGAGGCGCGAAAGCGUGGGGAGCAAACAGGAUUAGAAACCCUAGUAGUCC
Molecule: ribosomal RNA, 274 nt
Filed under: uncultured bacterium
Lineage: Bacteria
Description: partial 16S ribosomal RNA
Rfam family: Bacterial small subunit ribosomal RNA
Source: RNAcentral